Molecule: long non-coding RNA, 237 nt
Organism: Chinchilla lanigera (long-tailed chinchilla)
Lineage: Eukaryota; Metazoa; Chordata; Mammalia; Rodentia; Chinchillidae
Exons: 3
Source: RefSeq, a predicted model, not a curated record
CUAGAACGAAAGGGCCUGUACACUGAUUUGCUGUGUCCUAAUCACCCAGCUUAUCUAUGGUGGAGAGAAACAGUGUUACAUAAGAGUUGAGGAGGAAAUGGUGCAUGACCGCGAUUUGGAGUGGAGAGUCCUGAAAUUCAGGGAGUAGAAUAAUAGGCAUUGUAUUACUUUACAAGCAAUGGAUUAUCCAAUGUUUACAAACAAAGCAGAACCUAAAACUGUGUACCUAUGAUACUC